Molecule: long non-coding RNA, 1792 nt
Organism: Mytilus californianus (California mussel)
Lineage: Eukaryota; Metazoa; Mollusca; Bivalvia; Mytilida; Mytilidae
Exons: 4
Source: RefSeq, a predicted model, not a curated record
UUUCACUUGUGUUAUAAAAAUGAAUUUAACAUGUUUAACAGUAACAUGAUAAACGUGUUCACCUCUACAAAUAUUAACUAUGUGGUCUACCAACCAUGAACGACUUUACGCCGGGUUAAACUGUUAAACAUACCAUCAUGUUUCUUAACAAAACAAAUGUAAUAACAUCUGAUCUGGAGUAUGGAUAUCCCGUUUUUUGUACAACUAUAGUAGCAUUUUCCACAUUUAACAAAAUUGUUUCAAAGGUUAAUAUUCCGACGUCAGUGCGAACCGAUCCUUGUACAUGGAGAAAUCUUAUUGUUUCUGGUACACAUGGACUUAUAGCUGGUACAUGGGGAUGCCUAUGUCUGUUAUUGUAUCCUGAAUUAAUUGAAGAUCCAUACACUGCCAGCAAUCCGUGUAUUUUCCACAUGGUUGUAUUUUGCUCAGGUUAUUUUGUGUACGAUUUUAUUGAUUAUUUCAUAAAUGGAAAAUCAAUUCAACAAUGGGAGGUAACUCUUCAUCAUAUUGCUUGUAUUGCUAUAUUUUGGCAUAACUGGCACACCAAGACUUUUAUUGGAUACUCAUGUAUAGCACUAUUAACAGAGGGAAACAGUUUCUUCUUGCAUUCAAGAAAAUUAUUGCGAAUUUGUAAAAUCGGAUAUGAAUCGAUUCUUUACCGUGUUUGUGUUAUACUAAAUUUCGUCACUUUUGUUCUAUUCCGGGUGCUGCCGAUAAUGAUAGUUCUACAUGGUUGUUAUGUUACUUAUCAUCGACAUCCCAAUUUGUUUGUUGUUUUCAUGACAACUCUUUGUGCGGUGAUCGUUGCCAUUGUCAAUUCUGUACUGUUAUGGAGAUUGUGUAAAACAGACAUCAUUAUACCUUAUUGCCGAUGCAUCAAGACAGGAGAUAAACAACAAUCAGAAAACAACAAUAGUAAAAAAAUUGAUUGAUCAUCGAGCCAUCAAGUUGUUGGUAAAACGGACGUAUGCAUUCAAAAAUUAUCAGGAUACUAUUAGUAUUUUGUUCAAAUUGUCAAAAAGUUAUAAUUUUUUACAUUUUGCGUACAAACCUGAGCUGAGGUAUGAAUAUAAAAAAUAUCUAUUUUUUUUUAUUUCAACAAAAAUCUCAAAAAAAAAACCAAUAUUACUGCUUCUGCUUAUGAUAAAAAAAAAAUAAAAAAAAAUAAGCAAAGUCAUAAUAACAUAAUAAAUACGUAGAAAAAAAUAAUAUAAUAUGCAGGAUCUACAAUAUAACGUUCGAUUUAUGUCCGUUACUAUGUAAUAUUUCUGUGUCGUCAUUUUCGAACUAUGGAAACUAUUUCUUUUUGAGAAAUGAGUAUGUGCAUUUUAAUAUUUUUUAUAAACAUAUACAUUUUUAUACCUAAUUUUUAACGGUGCUUUUAAUAAUAUGUAUUAAUAAAUAUGUCAUUUAUGAUAUUUACUUGACUUGCCCAGGUUGUAAUGAAAUUUUCUGAAGUGUCGAUUUCCGUAUUUUAACAUGUUUUUUUUUCUAAUCUCUGCUGAAUUCGAUAAAUCAAGCAAAUGAGAUUUUUGAAGCUUUUACUAAACUGCAGCUAAAAUAAAUAUUUAACUUUACUUAACCAAAUAAUAGCCAAUAUAAUUAUUGCUAUUUGUAUAAUUUUUCUACUUUUUUGCAGCUAAUAAUCUUCCAACUAAAUGAAUAAAUCAUAAUAAAACUAAAAAUAAAUAAGGAAUAGUAAAAAGUCAAACCACUUACUUAACAAUAUUUCUAGAUGUAUCAUGUGAACAGUUCAAGUUUGAUUUACAAUAUUUCAUUAAAUUUUACAAUU